Molecule: ribosomal RNA, 507 nt
Filed under: Weissella confusa
Lineage: Bacteria; Bacillati; Bacillota; Bacilli; Lactobacillales; Lactobacillaceae
Description: bacterial LSU rRNA
Rfam family: Bacterial large subunit ribosomal RNA
Source: RNAcentral
UUAAGGGCGCAUGGUGGAUGCCUUGGCACUAGGAGCCGAUGAAGGACGGGACUAACACCAAUAUGCUUCGGGGAGCUGUAAGUAAGCUUUGAUCCGGAGAUUUCCGAAUGGGGGAACCCAACUUGUUAUGCAAGUUAUCACCUAAUGAAUAUAUAGUUAGGUUGAAGGUAGACGUUGUGAACUGAAACAUCUCAUUAGCAACAGGAAUAGAAAGAAAAAUCGAUACCGUCAGUAGCGGCGAGCGAAAUCGGUAGAGCCCAAACCAAAGUGCUUGCACUUUGGGGUUGUAGGACUGACAUUGUGGAGUUACAAAGUUAACAUUUAGCAGAAUCAGCUGGGAAGCUGAGCGAGACAGGGUGAUAGCCCCGUAUGCGAAAAGUGUUGACCUCCCGUCAGGAUCCUGAGUACGGCCGGACACGUGAAAUCCGGUCGGAAUCCGCGAGGACCAUCUCGCAAGGCUAAAUACUCCCUAGUGACCGAUAGUGAACCAGUACCGUGAGGGAAAGG